CAGCCUCAACUUCUCAGCCUUAAGUGAACCUCCUACCUCAGCCCCCCCAGGUGGCUGGGACCACUAUGUCCGGCUAAUUUUUUCUACUUUUUGUAGAGAUGGGUCUCACUACAUUGCCUAGGCUGAUCUUGAACUCCUGGGCUCAAGCAAUCCACCUGCUUUUGCCUCCCAAAGUGCUGAGAUUACAUGUGUCAGCCACUGUGCCCAGCCUAGUAAUAGAAUUUUCUAGAAUUUUAUAUUGAUAGACUCAUACCAGAUGCACUUUUUUUCUGGCUGUCCCCUUUCACCUUCGUAACUAUUUUGAGAUUCAUCCAUGUUCUUGGGUGUUAUCAAUGAUUUCUUUUUACUGCUGAGUAGUAUUCCAAACUUUAUUAAAUUGGGCCCUUUGGAUAUGAGUUAUUUAUUUUAUAUCAACUGUACCUCAAUAAGACCAUGAAAAAAAAAGAGGAUUCUCUUAAAACUUGAAAACAAGUUCAGAAUCUGACCAGCUCUCCUCAUCUCAACUACCAGUACUCAUGGGCAAGCCACAGCCAUCAACCUGGCUGACUCUGCUGUGAUCCACACUGAGCUCUUUUUUCUUCCCCUUCCCCUAUAUAGGCUAAUUUUUUUUUCUUUUUCUUUUUCUUUUUUUCAGACAGGGUCUUGCUCUGUUGCCCAGGCUGAAGCACAGUUGCACAAUCAUAGCUCACUGCAGCCUCCACCUCUCAGGCUCAAGCAAUCCUCUCACCUCAGCUUCCCCAGUAGCUGCGACCACAGGUGUGCACCACCAGGCCUGGCUAAUUGUUUUGUAUGUUUUUGUAGACACCGAGUUUCACCAUGUUGCCCAGGCUGGUCUUUAACUCCUGGACCCAAGCAAUCCACCAGCCUCAGCU
This 872-nucleotide long non-coding RNA is filed under the name Homo sapiens (human). RNAcentral's name for it is "HSALNT0262607". The record is from RNAcentral. Lineage: Eukaryota; Metazoa; Chordata; Mammalia; Primates; Hominidae.